UACGAAGGGAGCUAGCGUUGCUCGGAAUCACUGGGCGUAAAGCGCACGUAGGCGGGUUCUUAAGUCAGGGGUGAAAUCCUGGAGCUCAACUCCAGAACUGCCUUUGAUACUGGGAAUCUCGAGUCCGGGAGAGGUGAGUGGAACUGCGAGUGUAGAGGUGAAAUUCGUAGAUAUUCGCAAGAACACCAGUGGCGAAGGCGGCUCACUGGCCCGGUACUGACGCUGAGGUGCGAAAGCGUGGGUAGCAAACAGG
This 253-nucleotide ribosomal RNA is filed under the name uncultured bacterium. RNAcentral's name for it is "partial 16S ribosomal RNA". It matches the Rfam family "Bacterial small subunit ribosomal RNA", at positions 524 to 776 of the family's 1533-position model. The record is from RNAcentral.